Molecule: ribosomal RNA, 279 nt
Filed under: uncultured bacterium
Lineage: Bacteria
Description: partial 16S ribosomal RNA
Rfam family: Bacterial small subunit ribosomal RNA
Source: RNAcentral
UGCCAGCCGCCGCGGUAAUACGGAGGAUGCAGGCGUUAUCCGGAUUUAUUAGGUUUAAAGGGUGCGCAGGCGGCCCGGUAAGUCAGUGGUGAAAGUUUGCAGCUUAACUGUAAAAUUGCCAUUGAAACUGAGAACCUUGAAUACAAUUGAGGUAGGCGGAAUGAGUAGUGUAGCGGUGAAAUGCUUAGAUAUUACUCAGAACACCAAUUGCGAAGGCAGCUUACUAAAUUGUUAUUGACGCUGAUGCACGAAAGCGUGGGGAGCGAACAGGAUUAGAUA